CACUGAAAGCCAUUUCCCCUGUCUUA
This 26-nucleotide non-coding RNA is filed under the name Mus musculus (house mouse). Lineage: Eukaryota; Metazoa; Chordata; Mammalia; Rodentia; Muridae. The record is from RNAcentral.